RNAcentral lists this unclassified non-coding RNA (3309 nucleotides) under Amphibalanus amphitrite. RNAcentral's name for it is "uncharacterized protein DDB_G0285291-like, transcript variant X2". Lineage: Eukaryota; Metazoa; Arthropoda; Thecostraca; Balanomorpha; Balanidae. The record is from RNAcentral.
GGCAGUUAAUGCACGGCAGGAAAGCAGUCAACAUCAGUAGGCUCCAGGAGCAUAAGAUUUGUUUUGCAUUGAUUGCUGAAGAAGUGCAGCAAAAACAGCAAUGAUCUUACGAUGUAUUCCGUGGCUAUUGUACGGCAUGGCUGUGACUCCGUCCUGCGAGGUGCCCUCUGCACUGGACCUGAAGCUGAUGAAGGAGGUGACUGUCAACCUCGGCGAGAACCACGCCAUCUCUCCGUUCGUCAUGUCCACCCUGAUGUCUCAGGUCUGGCUGGCCACCAACGGCUCCACAAGGGAUGAGAUAACGCCUGUGUUGGGCGUGACUCAGCCGGCGCCUCUGUCGUUCCUCACCGCCUACAAGUCUGCCAUCAGCUACCUGUCGAGCUCCUCCGCAUCCAGCCAGCUCACCACCUCCGUCUUCAACCGGAUGUACGUCAGGAGCGGCUUCAGCGUGAGGCCUACCUUCACCAACUACCUGACCGCCUACUACGGAAACACCGUGGGCACCUUCUCCACACCGGCACAAGGUGUGACGCUCAUCAACGGAGAUGUCGCGGCGGCCACUGAAGAUCGCAUACAAGACCUCGUACAAACCAGUCAUCUGCGAUUCGCAGAAGUGGUUCUGGUUAGCGCGAUGUAUUUCAAAGGUGUUUGGAAGCAGACCUUUCCUCCUGCCGCGCCUGGUACGUUUCUGACGGGGAAUGGAGAGAAGCAGGUUAACAUGAUGAAACUAAAUCUGACCGAGUUACAGUAUGCAAAUAUGGGUACAUACGAUGUUGUGGCUCUUCCGUAUACGGAUGAGGAUUAUUGUAUGCUUUUGAUUAGACCUUUGGAGCGUAGCAUGUCGGCAGCAACUGCGCUACGAAACUCCCUGGGCACCCUGAGCGUAAACAGUAUUGUUCAGCAAUUGGUCGGGCAGCCAGUCUAUGUUACGCUUCCUCGUUUCAAGAUUGAAUCAGAUUAUUCUCUGGUUGACGAUAUGCAGCAGUUGGGCAUUAAGCAGAUAUUCAGUGCUGGGGCUGACUUCAGUAGUCUAACUGAUGACUGGCAAGGUCUCUUUGUGACCGCCAUUCUCCACAAAGUGUUCAUUGAAGUCAACGAGAACGGCACAGAGGCGGCAGGAGCAGGUGCCGUGAUCAUUGGUCGCGGAAAUCCGCCCGCAGAUUUCAAAGCAGACCGACCAUUCUUUGCAGUGGUGUACAACAAGCAGCACAAAAUCAACAUGUUCACGGCAUAUGUGGGUGAUCCUACACAGGCAUAGGAUCCUAUCCCACCCCGCGUUGCCUGGAUAUUCACAAUAUUGGAUAUGACUCUAUGAACUUGAAACGGCAAUGUCGGAACCCGCGGUCUUUGUGCGAGCGCAAUAUUGUGGGGCCUUUCACACCAAUUAGAAAAAGCUUUCUGCACUGAUAGUGACCAAAAUGGGUGCAUAGCAUCUGGGUUUUAUCUGAUGUCAUGAUGUGGUAGGUAUUUUAUUAGGUAUUUUCUUGAAUCGUUCGACAGUUUUUGGCUGUCACCUAGCAGUUCUCUAAAGAAAAAGACGAAAUACUUAGAGUGAUGUUUUGAGUUAUUGCAUUUAUGUUUAUAAUAAAGAAUUCGUUUUAUGGUCGAUGAAAUAGUCGGUAAGCUUGAAUAGGUAAGUCAACUGGUGGGAUAUUUUAAAAGUUGUUUUGGGUUAACUCCUCAUGCUGUGAGUCUGGAUUCGAAAUACACGAAAUCCCGUAAGUGAAGCAGCUGCCUUUACUUUUUCUCUGCGGGUGCUGCUAGUAUUCUAGAGGUACUACAGCUUUCAUAAGGUCCCCAGGAAAAGGCUUGCACGCUCAUAUGAGCCCUUAGGAUAUCGCAAAAAAAUAAUUAUAACUCUUGUUCAUUUAUUUGGCAGAAGAAAUUAGAUCAAAGAGGUGAUCGAAGAAAAAUUGAACAAAACCAACAAUUUUUUAGCAAAUGGCUGUUAUGGUCGACGUGACCCAAAUAAGGUAGAAUACAUUUGUCAGUAAUAUCUGAUAUCGGCUCAGUAGUAAGUCAUCAGGAAGGAGGCAAGCCGAAAAAGCUCCGAUAAACUGUAAACUUGACAAGCGUUAUGCAAUGCAGCCACACCUGUGUGCCUGCCGAUCUGCAGUGCACGGCCGCUAGCCCACCGGCGCGCCCUUGCCCUCUGCCCUCUGAGGACCAGUGAGCCGUGAUCAGCAGCAUGAGCUAAUACACAUUAACGGAGCCCGACCGGUAUAAAAGCCUGUGCGUUCCAGACCGAGGCACCAGUUGCAUCUGCUCGGGGCUAGUCAGAUACUGCACAGAGGAGAGACACCAUGCUGAAACUGGCGGCGUUCCUGUGUCUGGCUGUGGCCGUGCUGGGCCAGCAGCAGUUCGAGCGGCGCAGGCUCGGCCAGGGCCAGCAGUUCGGACAGUCGCGCUUCGGCCGACCGCAGCUGCGCUCGCAGUUCGGUCAGCUUCCUCAGCAGCAGCAGUUCGGCCAGCUGCCGCAGCAGCAGCAGUUCGGCCAGCUGCCGCAGCAGCAGUUUGGUCAGCAGUUCCAGCCCCGCCAGCAGCUGGCCCAGCCGCUGACCCAGCAGCUGGAUCAGUCCGCUCAGCAGCUCGAUCAGCCGCUGAGACUGCAGCUGGACCAGCCACUGAGGCAGCAGCAGCAGCGUAGCGAUCCGGUGCCGAUCCUCCGUCAGAGCAACAACCAGAGCCCGGAGGGCAGCUUCCAGUACGAUUACGCGUCGGCCGACAGCAUUGAGGUCGAGGCCCAGGGAGAGCAGCGCCAGAUCGGCGACGGCGUCGGCACCGUCAUGCAGGGAUCCUACUCGUACGUCGCCCCCAACGGCGAGCUCAUCGAGGUCAGGUGGAUUGCUGACGAGAAUGGCUUCCAGCCUAUCGUUUCCCGCAGCCCCAGCCAAUAAUCGACCUCGACAGAUGUAUUCUCUUCAUAUCAACUAGAACACAACCAGCACACCAACCGAGCAGCCAUGACUGUGAACCACUCGAUGAAUUAGUGUAUUUUAGUGUCGAUGGAUUAGUGUCUUAGUGUCACUUUUCCGCUUUUUGUGAGUGUUAUUUCACGUAUAGUUUGAUCACAUGACGCGAAUGCACUUACGACUGCUUUGUAACUGCGUCUGAUGUAGCUAUGUCUUCAACUUCUGGCAAAUUUUAGACUUAACAACUCUAACGCACGUCGCACGAAAAAAGACUCUGAACUUUCUGCUAGGGUGGAUAUUUUGAGGCAAUAGUUACCUUCUGCUUUGAUGUCAUACCAUACCUGCAUCGUGUGAUAUUGUUGCAAGCUAUGAAAAUACAUGCAUGUAAACAAGCAAA